GGGCAUCCCUCUGUGGAACCCCUGCUCCUUUUCCCAGUGGACGCUUACCGAGGUCACAGGCAGCACAGGGGGUGAGGCACUUGGGAGGGCACUUGGGGAUGCACUUGGGAGGGGGCUGGCACUGCUGCUGGUUCUGCUGGCAGGACAUCUUGGUGCGGGACCCUGUGCUGCCUGUGACCCCGCUCCUGAAUCCGCCACCAAGAUGUCCUGCCAGCAGAGCCAGCAGCAGUGCCAGCCCCCUCCCAAAGUUGCAGCAGCCCCCAGAGCUGGGACCACAGCAGCCCCCAGAGAUGGGACCACAGCAAGAAGAGACUGCAGGGGAACAUGGAGCUGGGCACUGGGGCAGGCAUUUAGGGGGACACUUAGGUGGACAUUUUGGGGUACACUUGGGAGGACACUUGGGAGGGGGCUGGCACUGCUGCUGGUUUUGCUGGCAAGACAUGCUGGCAGGAGUUUAGUCAACCUGAAAGAUAAUAAUGAAACUCUUUAAAUAUUUCAAACCAAGGAUCAUAUUAUACCUCUUCUAAAAUCAAUGCAUGUGUAGAAGAAGAAUGAUAUUUAGAUAAUACAAUCACAUCAGUAACCUGAAAGAAACAACUUGAAUCUUUCCUCUAGAUAAAAGUACGUAGAUAAAAAAUCAACAGAAUGAGCUUCUUACUCUUCCUUUCAGGGGAAACUGCGAUUGCUCUAUCCUCACAAGCCCGAAUAGAGUAUUCACAGCUCCCUGAAGUACCUAUUCCUUUAAUACAAGCCCUAAGGACAAGCUGGGUGUUGCAGGACAUACCAAGGGGUCCUCUGGAAAAUAUUUUGCAAUGAAACCUCCAGAUAAAAGAGCCUGGCUUGAAGUAUUUGCCAGUUUCCAUGGUGUAAAUAUGCCCAACACAGCAGUUUUGAAGUUACCAACAUGAAGUCACUGAACACAGAAUUGGAAAAGAUGUGCACAGUUAGCUUUCCCCACCUAUAUGAGCUCCGGUAGGCCUCAGAGCCUCAACAGAUUCGAGGCAGGCUGAGUCCCAUUCCUGCUCAGUAUGGCAGAACACAAGCACACAACUCUUUCUCCAGCCUACCUCCAUCCUCCCCAUCCCUCUGCCUUGCUCAUACCCCUCUGGUAUCCC
RNAcentral lists this long non-coding RNA (1115 nucleotides) under Homo sapiens (human). RNAcentral describes it as "HSALNT0295807". Lineage: Eukaryota; Metazoa; Chordata; Mammalia; Primates; Hominidae. The record is from RNAcentral.